GACGAACGCUGGCGGCGUGCCUAACACAUGCAAGUCGAGCGAUGAAGCUUCUUCGGAAGUGGAUUAGCGGCGGACGGGUGAGUAACACGUGGGUAACCUGCCUCAUAGUGGGGAAUAGCCUCUCGAAAGGGAGAUUAAUACCGCAUAUGAUUGUAGUUCCGCAUGGAACAGCAAUUAAAGGACUUAUUCGCUAUGAGAUGGACCCGCGGCGCAUUAGCUAGUUGGUGAGGUAACGGCUCACCAAGGCGACGAUGCGUAGCCGACCUGAGAGGGUGAUCGGCCACAUUGGGACUGAGACACGGCCCAGACUCCUACGGGAGGCAGCAGUGGGGAAUAUUGCACAAUGGGGGAAACCCUGAUGCAGCAACGCCGCGUGAGUGAUGACGGCCUUCGGGUUGUAAAGCUCUGUCUUCAGGGACGAUAAUGACGGUACCUGAGGAGGAAGCCACGGCUAACUACGUGCCAGCCGCCGCCGUAA
Molecule: ribosomal RNA, 478 nt
Filed under: uncultured bacterium
Lineage: Bacteria
Description: partial 16S ribosomal RNA
Rfam family: Bacterial small subunit ribosomal RNA
Source: RNAcentral